CUCCAGACUCCUACGGGAGGCAGCAGUGGGGGAUAUUGCACAAUGGGGGAAACCCUGAUGCAGCGACGCCGCGUGAGCGAUGAAGUAUUUCGGUAUGUAAAGCUCUAUCAGCAGGGAAGAAGAUGGCGGUACCUGACUAAGAAGCCCCGGCUAACUACGUGCCGGCAGCCGCGGUAAUACGUAGGGGGCAAGCGUUGUCCGGAUUUACUGGGUGUAAAGGGAGCGUAGACGGCGAUGCAAGCCAGAUGUGAAAGCCCGGGGCUCAACCCCGGGACUGCAUUUGGAACUGUGUGGCUGGAGUGUCGGAGAGGCAGGCGGAAUUCCUAGUGUAGCGGUGAAAUGCGUAGAUAUUAGGAGGAACACCAGUGGCGAAGGCGGCCUGCUGGACGAUGACUGACGUUGAGGCUCGAAAGCGUGGGGAGCAAACAGGAUUAGAUACCCCAGUA
RNAcentral lists this ribosomal RNA (446 nucleotides) under uncultured bacterium. RNAcentral describes it as "bacterial SSU rRNA". It matches the Rfam family "Bacterial small subunit ribosomal RNA", at positions 329 to 792 of the family's 1533-position model. The record is from RNAcentral.